Saccostrea cuccullata (small rock oyster) is the source of this 519-nucleotide long non-coding RNA. RefSeq lists it as uncharacterized. NCBI's taxonomy places the organism in Eukaryota, Metazoa, Mollusca, Bivalvia, Ostreida, Ostreidae. The transcript is spliced from 4 exons. The record is from RefSeq and is a predicted model, not a curated record.
GUCAACAUGUCCAGGUCGUUUCCCGUAGAAAACCCCGACAGGAUUGUUUUGUAAAAUCUACAAGCUGUGAUCAUUAUUGAAGCAUUGUAGAAGCCCAGGGAUGAUUAAACCAAUUUUAAGUCACCCAUUUCUUUAUGCCCGGGAUACCCGAUUAACCAAAAGAAACUUGAAGGUCACAAACAUGCGAGAUUGCAGACCCACGUUGCCUCGAUCGCCUGAUGUCAUGUCGUGUCACUGUGCAGUAGGAUUGUACAUGAGGAAACAACCUUACAGUACUUAAUUUACCCAGGAGUACACUACCUGUAGUUGAAAAAAGACUGAAGGCCAGACUUAGGCAGGAUGAUUGAACAAAAUCUGCUUGCAGAUGGACUAUUGAGGCAAAAAAAUUAGACUCUCAGCAGGUGAACAGAUGUUCAGCAAGAAAUUCUCACAUCAAAUGCUGUAGAUUACACUGAUAUACCUCCCCCCCAAAAAAGAAAAAAAGAACAGAGAUACCAAUCAUUAACAGCUUGAGACUUA